UGUGGAAUUGCUGGGUCAUAUGGUAAUUCUGUUUAAUUUUUUGAGCAAUUGCCAACUGUUCUCCAGAGUGUCCACAUCAUUUUAUGUUCCCACCAGCAAU
This 100-nucleotide microRNA precursor is filed under the name Marmota monax (woodchuck). Lineage: Eukaryota; Metazoa; Chordata; Mammalia; Rodentia; Sciuridae. The record is from RNAcentral.